This 1513-nucleotide long non-coding RNA is filed under the name Eucalyptus grandis. RNAcentral describes it as "long non-coding RNA (EGRA_LNC007758)". Lineage: Eukaryota; Viridiplantae; Streptophyta; Magnoliopsida; Myrtales; Myrtaceae. The record is from RNAcentral.
GGAGAUCGAAUCACCGCAACGGCGACGCGACGGCGGCCGAAAUCGAACUUUCAACAAUAUCGGCGGACUUGGACCAGGCCUUGGACUUGGCCCAACAAAUCUCAGCCCAAUUGAGAUUUGUUCUUGCACUGAAAUGGGCUUGCUCUUGGACUUGGGCCUAGCUGCGAUUGGGCUUCAAAAACUGGGCUUGAAGACUGCAAUUGCUGAAAAUAGGCUGGGCCCAAAGCUGAAACUAAAACUUGCUGGGCUUCAUUGGAUUGGGCUUCAAGAGGGCUGAAACGAAUUGCUGGCCUGGGCUGAACUUAAUUGGGCUUGCAACUUGCUGGACUUGAAAUUAAACUGAAAAUGGGCUGCUCUCUUUGGGCUGAAAACUGCUGACCUUGCUGGGCUUUGGAGCUAAAUUUGCUGGGCCUAACUUGUGGCCCAAAAGAAAUUCGCUAGGCUGGAAUUUGCGUGGACUUCAAGUGGUCCAGCUGCUGGGCCGAACAAGAGAAUCCGCAAGAGACGCUGGGCUGCUGAAGUCGGCCAAUGCACGGAAUACACGAAGAAGCUGCUCAAUUGAUGCUGCUGGGUGGACUCGAGAUCAGCGCUGGAGAUGGCAUCACGAAAAUGGAACAGCAGGCGUGAGCUGCUGGGUCAACACGGAGGCGUCCAGCUGAGAACUCGCUGCUUCGUUGACCGAGUGAAGGGCGCCUGGCAGCUGGCUUGAGGCUUCGCUGGAGAGAGUUGCUUCAGUUGGUGGUUUCGUGGACGACUGAACUUGGAGCUCACAGUCAGCAAACUGACCGAGAGAUGCAGCGUGGACUGGAACGUGGCAGCUUUGGCGAGGCUAGCAACUGGUUUCGUCUUCGUGGGCGGCUGAGGCGUGGAGACUUCGGUCAACAAACGGUGGAGGAGAGGGCACCGUUGACUGGUGUGCUGGCGUGGAGCUGAGGGCACGCACUGGGGAAGACUGAAGACGGAAGCUGCUCGCGGACGCUGCUUCGCUGGACGCACGGAGCGGUGAGGAGCUUCAGUCAACAAAAUGGUUUCGGUGCUUGCUGUUGUUGACCGACUCAAGAGAAGACGCUGCCAAGUGGCAGCAAAACCAAACUGUUCGGUGAAGACGCUGAAGACGCAAGCUGGCGGAGGGCGCUCGUGAGUGGGCUGAUGCGGUCAAUCGAUGGGCUCCGUUCUUGCAGGUGUUGACCGAGAGAUGUUAGUUGAUGGGCAAGUGGCGAGGAGCAGCUUAAAUUGAAGAUCUCGUGGCUGGCGUGAGUGGAGUGUGUGGGUUUCGGUUGAGGAAGAGAAGUAACGGAGAUGGAGAGAGAUUGGAUGGGGAUUGCUUCGCACGGUAGAGAGAUUAAAACAAAAGCAGGAAUAAUGAGCGGAUGGGAGGGUUGCCGAGCGUGAGAAGCCAGCUAAGAGGAGACAAGAAAAAUCAGAAAUCUUAGCCAAUACAUUUAAUGUUUUGGCCCCACAAGUCCACCAUACACUCCUCUUUGUCCCCCCAAUCAAUUUCAAGCUUAUCAAC